This 490-nucleotide ribosomal RNA is filed under the name uncultured bacterium. RNAcentral's name for it is "bacterial SSU rRNA". It matches the Rfam family "Bacterial small subunit ribosomal RNA", at positions 29 to 507 of the family's 1533-position model. The record is from RNAcentral.
AUGAACGCUAGCUACAGGCUUAACACAUGCAAGUCGAGGGGAAACGAUAUUGGAAGCUGCUUCCGAUAGGCGUCGACCGGCGCACGGGUGAGUAACGCGUAUCCAACCUGCCCAUCACUUGGGAAUAACCUUGCGAAAGUAAGACUAAUGCCCAAUGACAUUUAUAGAAGGCAUCUGAAAGGGAUUAAAGAUUUAUCGGUGAUGGAUGGGGAUGCGUCUGAUUAGCUUGUUGGCGGGGUAACGGCCCACCAAGGCGACGAUCAGUAGGGGUUCUGAGAGGAAGGUCCCCCACAUUGGAACUGAGACACGGUCCAAACUCCUACGGGAGGCAGCAGUGAGGAAUAUUGGUCAAUGGGCGAGAGCCUGAACCAGCCAAGUAGCGUGCAGGAUGACGGCCCUAUGGGUUGUAAACUGCUUUUAUAAGGGAAUAAAGUGAGAGUCGUGACUCUUUUUGCAUGUACCUUAUGAAUAAGGACCGGCUAAUUCCGUG